GACGAACGCUGGCGGCGUGCUUAACACAUGCAAGUCGAGCGGUAAGGCCCUUUGGGGUACACGAGCGGCGAACGGGUGAGUAACACGUGAGUAAUCUGCCUUUGACUUGGGAAUAACUUCGGGAAAUCGGGGCUAAUGCCUGAUGUUUACUGUCUGCUGCAUGGUGGGUGGUGGAAAGAUUUUUUGGCCAGGGAUGAGCUCGCGGUCUAUCAGCUUGUUGGUGGGGUAAUGGCUACCAAGGCUUUGACGGGUAGCCGGCCUGAGAGGGUGUUCGGCCACACUGGGACUGAGACACGGCCCAGACUCCUACGGGAGGCAGCAGUGGGGAAUCUUGCGCAAUGGGCGAAAGCCUGACGCAGCGACGCCGCGUGAGGGAUGACGGCCU
RNAcentral lists this ribosomal RNA (385 nucleotides) under uncultured bacterium. RNAcentral describes it as "bacterial SSU rRNA". It matches the Rfam family "Bacterial small subunit ribosomal RNA", at positions 28 to 417 of the family's 1533-position model. The record is from RNAcentral.